GUCUCUCUGAACUCCACUUGACCUCUCUAUCACCACCUGAUAAAGGCACUGUUAGAUCCAGGUAAAGAUCGAAGGGGACUUCUGUAGCCAUAGAAACUAGGACUGAUUGGAAUAAAGUUCUUGGCCUCUCCAGCCGCAGCCCUCGUUUGGAAGGGAAUUCUAAGUCACCAGAGAGCUACUGCUUAUUCUUGGGAGAAUGUGAGAGUGAACCCUCCUCAUGCUGCCAAACUGGCACGGGAUGCCAUCGCCACUCUGCGAAUGAACAGAACACAAUAAACAAGCCGAGGGAAAGAGCUUCAACUUCCAAAUGCCCUCUUGAGAGAAGAGAGAAGGCAGUUCCUGGGAACAGCAAAAAACGCUGUUCAAAGAGUGGAAGCAUUGAUUUCUACCAUGAAUGACUAAUAAUCAUUGUGGUGUGGUUUAGAAUUGAAAUACAAGUUCUGCAGCCUAAAGAACCAGCAGACCUAUCUCCUGUGAUGUUCCAUUUACACUCGCUUGAUAAAAGCAUCCCAAUAAAUUGGACUGUUGGGUUUAUUUAAACUCAUCCAUCUCAGAUUCAUGAAAGUAUUUACCCAUGAAUCCAAUUUUCAUUUCCAGUUGUUGUGCCUCUGGGACUUUUCUUACUUGAUUAGGGAUGGUUGAUACCCAUCUAAAGUUUGGGUAAGAUAAAUAUUGCAUACACAGCUGAGCUCUUGGUAUCUUCAUGUCAGCGCAUGUGGUACUUAUAGCAGGUCAAGUUGAUAGAUUCGUGCAUUUUCCAUCACUAGGCAAUAAGAAAGCCUUGAAAAAUUCAUUCCUAAGUGUCCAAAUCCAACUGACUGGACGCCAAUUCUUACCAGCAAGUAAUAGACCACCCUGUCUCAACUCACUGGCUCGUCUACAAACAACCACAGCCAGGUGAGCAAGCACACCCUGGCCUAUUUGUUGGCUGGACCGUUUUCCAUUCUCCUCUACUCAGGUUCUCAUCAAUCAAUAUGAAGAAUAUGUAUCAAAAUACCAAAAUCAAAAUAUGGUAUCACAGCAAAUAAUAAUGAUGGUGAUGAUGAUGACAAUUAUCGUUCAUUUAACAAAUGUUAGUAACUGCCUACUAAUGCCUAUGUCGGGUACUAUUCUAGGUGUUGGGAAUGCAGCAGAGAACAAGACGAAGUCCCUGCCCUGAUGGGGCUUGCAAUCUUAGAGCACAGACAUGCAACCAAUUGAAUAAAAUAAUUUUAGAAAUUUAAG
This 1224-nucleotide long non-coding RNA is filed under the name Equus asinus (donkey). RNAcentral's name for it is "lncRNA (ENSEASG00005023650.1)". Lineage: Eukaryota; Metazoa; Chordata; Mammalia; Perissodactyla; Equidae. The record is from RNAcentral.